Molecule: ribosomal RNA, 319 nt
Filed under: uncultured eukaryote
Lineage: Eukaryota
Description: partial 18S ribosomal RNA
Rfam family: Eukaryotic small subunit ribosomal RNA
Source: RNAcentral
CCCUUAGAUGUCCUGGGCCGCGCGCGCUACACUGACAUGUUCAACAAGCCUCCUAGUUCGACAGGAUUUGGGAAAUCUUUGAACGCAUGUCGUGAUAGGGAUAGAUCAUUGCAAUUAUUGAUCUUGAACGAGGAAUUCCUAGUAAACGCGAGUCAUCAGCUCGCAUUGAUUACGUCCCUGCCCUUUGUACACACCGCCCGUCGCACCUACCGAUUGAAUGUUUCGGUGAAGAUUCCGGAUAGGACUUUUUUGAUUUAUUUCAAUUUUGUCUUAAAAGCUAUCUAAACCUCAACAUUUAGAGGAAGGUGAAGUCGUAACA